This 253-nucleotide ribosomal RNA is filed under the name uncultured bacterium. RNAcentral describes it as "partial 16S ribosomal RNA". It matches the Rfam family "Bacterial small subunit ribosomal RNA", at positions 524 to 776 of the family's 1533-position model. The record is from RNAcentral.
UACGUAGGGUGCAAGCGUUAAUCGGAAUUACUGGGCGUAAAGCGUGCGCAGGCGGUUAUGUAAGACAGGUGUGAAAUCCCCGGGCUUAACCUGGGAACUGCAUUUGUGACUGCAUAGCUAGAGUACGGCAGAGGGGGAUGGAAUUCCGCGUGUAGCAGUGAAAUGCGUAGAUAUGCGGAGGAACACCGAUGGCGAAGGCAAUCCCCUGGGCCUGUACUGACGCUCAUGCACGAAAGCGUGGGGAGCAAACCGG